ACUCCUACGGGAGGCAGCAGUGGGGAAUAUUGCACAAUGGGGGAAACCCUGAUGCAGCCAUGCCGCGUGUGUGAAGAAGGCCUUCGGGUUGUAAAGCACUUUCAGUAGGGAGGAAGGUAGUGUAGUUAACACCUGCAUUAUUUGACGUUACCUACAGAAGAAGCACCGGCUAACUCCGUGCCAGCAGCCGCGGUAAGUACGGAGGGUGCGAGCGUUAAUCGGAAUUACUGGGCGUAAAGCGCAUGCAGGCGGCCUGUUAAGUCAGAUGUGAAAGCCCGGGGUCUUAACCGUCGGAAUUGCAUUUGAAACUGGCAGGCUAGAGUCUUGUAGAGGGGUUAGAAUUUCAGGUGUAGCGGUGAAAUGCGUAGAGAUCUGAAGGAAUACCAGUGGCGAAGGCGGCCCCGUGGACAAAGACUGACGCUCAGAUGCGAAAGCGUGGGAGCAAACAGGAUUAGAUACCCCGUGGUAGCGACUGA
This 476-nucleotide ribosomal RNA is filed under the name uncultured bacterium. RNAcentral's name for it is "bacterial SSU rRNA". It matches the Rfam family "Bacterial small subunit ribosomal RNA", at positions 335 to 803 of the family's 1533-position model. The record is from RNAcentral.